GCGGGUGUAGUUCAAUGGUAGAACACUGGCCUUCCAAGCCAGAUGCGUGGGUUCGAUUCCCAUCACCCGCUCCA
RNAcentral lists this transfer RNA (74 nucleotides) under Bacillus sp. (in: firmicutes). RNAcentral describes it as "tRNA-Gly". It matches the Rfam family "tRNA". Rfam says of the family: Transfer RNA (tRNA) molecules are approximately 80 nucleotides in length. Their secondary structure includes four short double-helical elements and three loops (D, anti-codon, and T loops). RNAcentral also lists the same sequence under 2 other names. Lineage: Bacteria; Bacillati; Bacillota; Bacilli; Caryophanales; Bacillaceae. The record is from RNAcentral.